RNAcentral lists this ribosomal RNA (1199 nucleotides) under uncultured organism. RNAcentral's name for it is "bacterial SSU rRNA". It matches the Rfam family "Bacterial small subunit ribosomal RNA", at positions 100 to 1281 of the family's 1533-position model. The record is from RNAcentral.
GAACGGGUGAGUAACGCGUAGGUAACUUGCCUAUCAGUCUGGGAUAACACUGCUAACGCGGUGCUAAUACCGGGUAUACUGCAUAGAUCGCAUGUUUUUUGCAGGAAAGCGGGCCUCUGGAACAAGCUCGUGCUGAUAGAUAGACCUGCGUUCCAUUAGUUAGUUGGUAGGGUAACGGCCUACCAAGGCAGCGAUGGGUAGCCGGCCUGAGAGGGUGACCGGCCACACUGGGACUGAGAUACGGCCCAGACUCCUACGGGAGGCAGCAGUGAGGAAUAUUGCGCAAUGGACGAAAGUCUGACGCAGCAACGCCGCGUGAGGGAUGAAGCUUUUCGGAGUGUAAACCUCUGUUAGGAGGGAAGAACGUCUAUUAUUCGAACAGGGUGAUAGAGUGACGGUACCUCCAGAGAAAGCCCCGGCUAACUCCGUGCCAGCAGCCGCGGUAAUACGGGGGGGGCGAACGUUGUCCGGAAUUAUUGGGCGUAAAGGGCGCGUAGGCGGGAAGGUCAGUCAGAGGUGAAAGCUUGUGGCUUAACUGCAAGUUUGCCUUUGAUACUGCCAUUCUUGAGUUCGGAAGAGGGAAGUGGAAUUCCUGGUGUAGCGGUGAAAUGCGUAGAUAUCAGGAAGAACACCGGUGGCGAAGGCGGCUUCCUGGUCCGAUACUGACGCUGAUGCGCGAAAGCGUGGGGAGCAAACAGGAUUAGAUAUCCUGGUAGUGCACGCUGUAAACGAUGGGUACUAGGUGUUGGGUUUAAUUACUCAGCGCCGGAGCUAACGCAUUAAGUACCCCGCCUGGGGAGUACGAUCGCAAGAUUGAAACUCAAAGGAAUUGACGGGGGCCCGCACAAGCGGUGGAGCAUGUGGUUUAAUUCGAUGCAACGCGAAGAUCCUUGCCUGGGCUUGAACUGUAGGUGACGUAUCCUGAAAGGGAUAUUCUCUUCGGAGCACCUAUAGAGGUGCUGCAUGGCUGUCGUCAGCUCGUGCCGUGAGGUGUUGGGUUAAGUCCCGCAACGAGCGCAACCCCUGUUCCUAGUUGCCAGCAUUUAAGGUGGGAACUCUAGGGAGACUGCCCCGGACAACGGGGAGGAAGGUGGGGAUGACGUCAAAUCAUCAUGGCUCUUACGUCCAGGGCUAGACGCGUGCUACAAUGGUCGGUACAGAAGGAUGCCAAGUCGCGAGACCGAGCUUAUCCAUUAAAA